UUUUCAGUGAAUCUUUGACCGCAGACCGCAGGUGCAUCGAGCCUAAAUUUCCUGCCGAGGUCAACAGCCUUUCUGCCCGUGGGGGGAGAAUUUGCUGUGACCCGGCCAACGACCGGGUUUUUUGUUGGGGGUA
Molecule: regulatory RNA element, 133 nt
Organism: Gloeomargarita lithophora Alchichica-D10
Lineage: Bacteria; Bacillati; Cyanobacteriota; Cyanophyceae; Gloeomargaritales; Gloeomargaritaceae
Rfam family: Ribosomal protein L10 leader
About the family: This family is a putative r-protein leader autoregulatory structure found in B. subtilis and other low-GC Gram-positive bacteria.
Source: Rfam